Molecule: ribosomal RNA, 254 nt
Filed under: uncultured bacterium
Lineage: Bacteria
Description: partial 16S ribosomal RNA
Rfam family: Bacterial small subunit ribosomal RNA
Source: RNAcentral
UUCCCACGGGGGGCAGCAGUAGGGAAUCUUCCACAAUGGGCGAAAGCCUGAUGGAGCAACGCCGCGUGGGUGAAGAAGGUCUUCGGAUCGUAAAACCCUGUUGUUAGAGGAGAAAGUGCGUGAGAGUAACUGUUCACGUUUCGACGGUAUCUAACCAGAAAGCCACGGCUAACUACCUGCCAGCAGCCGCGGUAGUACGUAGGUGGCAAGCGUUAUCCGGAUUUAUUGGGCGUAAAGAGAACGCAGGCGGACUU